AUGGCUGCUGCGCAUGCCUUCUUCUUCUUCUCCUCGGUCGAACCGGUGCUCCUUUCGGUUUCACCGGUAGCUGGAAAUGGUGGCCGGAGCGGCCGCAACCAUGGCUUCUUCCGCCCUUCGACGGUGAUAUGUCCCGGGCGGGAGCCUGCGUCCCAUGGGCUGUCCGAUGAUUUUGACUUCCAGGUAUAUAUAUUGUUAUGGCUGGUGAACGUACUUAGCACUCAUGUUUGUCUUUUUUAG
This 240-nucleotide ribosomal RNA is filed under the name Triticum aestivum (bread wheat). RNAcentral's name for it is "partial small subunit ribosomal RNA". Lineage: Eukaryota; Viridiplantae; Streptophyta; Magnoliopsida; Poales; Poaceae. The record is from RNAcentral.